RNAcentral lists this ribosomal RNA (253 nucleotides) under uncultured bacterium. RNAcentral describes it as "partial 16S ribosomal RNA". It matches the Rfam family "Bacterial small subunit ribosomal RNA", at positions 524 to 776 of the family's 1533-position model. The record is from RNAcentral.
UACGUAGGGUGCGAGCGUUAAUCGGAAUUACUGGGCGUAAAGCGUGCGCAGGCUGUUCUGUAAGUCAGAUGUGAAAUCCCCGAGCUCAACUUGGGAACUGCGUUUGAAACUACAGGACUAGAAUAUGUCAGAGGGGGGUAGAAUUCCACGUGUAGCAGUGAAAUGCGUAGAGAUGUGGAGGAAUACCAAUGGCGAAGGCAGCCCCCUGGGAUAAUAUUGGCGCUCAUGCACGAAAGCGUGGGGAGCAAACAGG